This 507-nucleotide ribosomal RNA is filed under the name uncultured archaeon. RNAcentral describes it as "bacterial SSU rRNA". It matches the Rfam family "Archaeal small subunit ribosomal RNA", at positions 1 to 508 of the family's 1478-position model. The record is from RNAcentral.
UUCCGGUUGAUCCUGCCGGAGGUUACUGCUAUUGGUGUUCGACUAAGCCAUGCAAGUCAUAUGUUCCUCGUGAACAUGGCAUACUGCUCAGUAACACGUGGAUAACCUGCCCUUGGGUCUGGGAUAACCCCGGGAAACUGGGGAUAAUACCGGAUAACGCAUAUGUGCUGGAAUGCUUUAUGCGUAAAACGGAUUCGUCCGCCCAAGGAUGGGUCUGCGGCCUAUCAGGUAGUAGUGGGUGUAAUGUACCUACUAGCCAACAACGGGUACGGGUUGUGAGAGCAAGAGCCCGGAGAUGGAUUCUGAGACAUGAAUCCAGGCCCUACGGGGCGCAGCAGGCGCGAAAACUUUACAAUGCGGGAAACCGUGAUAAGGGAACACCGAGUGCCAGCAUCAUAUGCUGGCUGUCCAGAUGUGUAAACUACAUCUGUUAGCAAGGGCCGGGCAAGACCGGUGCCAGCCGCCGCGGAAACACCGGCGGCCCGAGUGGAGACCGUUAUUAUUGGG